Molecule: long non-coding RNA, 256 nt
Filed under: Daucus carota (carrot)
Lineage: Eukaryota; Viridiplantae; Streptophyta; Magnoliopsida; Apiales; Apiaceae
Description: long non-coding RNA (DCAR_LNC005598)
Source: RNAcentral
UCUUGUUGUACAUGUUCUUGCCUCAAGCUAUGGCUACUGGUACAACUUCUUUCCUUCCUCUAGUCUUACAGUCACUGACAUGCAUGUAUUUUACCUUCACGUUUUGUUUCAACUUGCUUGGCCUUGGCUUGUUUAAUAUGAUAUAUAACUGCCUCUAUGUUGCUAUAAUAAUCAGUAUUUCCAACAUUCUUGAAGAGAUUAUUUGUUAUAUAAUAUUUAGCAUAAUGUCGAGCGAAACUGAGGUUCCCGUUGUUGG